RNAcentral lists this non-coding RNA (108 nucleotides) under Allocoprococcus comes. Its description in RNAcentral is "Coprococcus comes TPP sequence". It matches the Rfam family "TPP riboswitch aptamer (THI element)". From Rfam's summary of the family: Vitamin B(1) in its active form thiamin pyrophosphate (TPP) is an essential coenzyme that is synthesised by coupling of pyrimidine and thiazole moieties in bacteria. The previously detected thiamin-regulatory element, thi box was extended, resulting in a new, highly conserved RNA secondary structure, the THI element, which is widely distributed in eubacteria and also occurs in some archaea. Lineage: Bacteria; Bacillati; Bacillota; Clostridia; Lachnospirales; Lachnospiraceae. RNAcentral also lists the same sequence under 1 other name. The record is from RNAcentral.
UCAUAUGUACCAGGGAGCUGGAGAUUGCCGGCUGAGAGGGGAUUUAUUUAUCCCGACCUGUAACCUGAUUUGGAUAAUGCCAACGGAGGGAAUGUAUACCAUGUAUUU